CCGUAAACUAUUAACCCACACUAACCCCGCGCCAGGGAACUACGAGCCUUAGCUUAAAACCCAAAGGACUUGACGGUGUCCCACCCAACUAGAGGAGCCUGUUCUAUAAUCGAUAACCCCCGCUUCACCCAACCCCCCCUUGCUUUAUCAGCCUGUAUACCUCCGUCGUAAACCCGCCGUAUGAAUGUACUUAAGCGGAUUCAAUGGUCUCCCACCAACACGUCAGGUCAAGGUGCAGCCAAUGGGGGUGGUAAGUAAUGGGCUACAAUUUCUAACCUAGAACAAACGAAGUACUGCAUGAAACACAGUCAUGAAGGAGGAUUUAGUAGUAAAAAGAAAGUAGCGUGUUCUUUUUAACACGGCCCUGGGACGUGUACACACCGCCCGUCGCCCUCUUCGACAACACUAUUCUGUUACCUAACCCAACUAAUAACUAGAGAAGAGGUAAGUCGUAACAUGGUAAGUGUACCGGAAGGUGCACUUGGCUCA
This 489-nucleotide ribosomal RNA is filed under the name Hoplobatrachus rugulosus (rugose frog). RNAcentral's name for it is "partial 12S ribosomal RNA". It matches the Rfam family "Bacterial small subunit ribosomal RNA", at positions 800 to 1525 of the family's 1533-position model. The record is from RNAcentral. Lineage: Eukaryota; Metazoa; Chordata; Amphibia; Anura; Dicroglossidae.